RNAcentral lists this ribosomal RNA (252 nucleotides) under uncultured Anaerococcus sp. RNAcentral's name for it is "partial 16S ribosomal RNA". It matches the Rfam family "Bacterial small subunit ribosomal RNA", at positions 524 to 776 of the family's 1533-position model. The record is from RNAcentral. Lineage: Bacteria; Bacillati; Bacillota; Tissierellia; Tissierellales; Peptoniphilaceae.
UACGUAUGGACCGAGCGUUGUCCGGAAUCAUUGGGCGUAAAGGGUACGUAGGCGGCCUAGUAAGUUAGAAGUGAAAUAAUAUAGCUCAACUAUAUAAAGCUUUUAAAACUGCUAGGCUUGAGAGAUGGAAGGGAAAGUGGAAUUCCUAGUGUAGCGGUGAAAUGCGCAGAUAUUAGGAAGAAUACCGGUGGCGAAGGCGACUUUCUGGUCAUCAUCUGACGCUGAGGUACGAAAGCGUGGGUAGCAAACAGG